This 255-nucleotide ribosomal RNA is filed under the name uncultured bacterium. RNAcentral's name for it is "partial 16S ribosomal RNA". It matches the Rfam family "Bacterial small subunit ribosomal RNA", at positions 99 to 354 of the family's 1533-position model. The record is from RNAcentral.
CGGACGGGUGAGUAACGCGUGGAAAACCUGCCGUAUACUGGGGGAUAACACUUAGAAAUAGGUGCUAAUACCGCAUAAGCGCACAGCUUCGCAUGAAGUGGUGUGAAAAACUCUGGUGGUAUACGUUGGUUCCGCGUCUGAUUAGCUUGUUGGUGGGGUAAUGGCUCACCAAGGCGACGAUCAGUAGCCGGCCUGAGAGGGUGAACGGCCACAUUGGGACUGAGACACGGCCCAAACUCCUACGGAAGGCAGCAG